RNAcentral lists this ribosomal RNA (463 nucleotides) under uncultured bacterium. RNAcentral describes it as "bacterial SSU rRNA". It matches the Rfam family "Bacterial small subunit ribosomal RNA", at positions 330 to 792 of the family's 1533-position model. The record is from RNAcentral.
CCCAGACUCCUACGGGAGGCAGCAGUGGGGAAUAUUGCACAAUGGGGGAAACCCUGAUGCAGCGACGCCGCGUGAGUGAAGAAGUAUUUCGGUAUGUAAAGCUCUAUCAGCAGGGAAGAAAUACUGACCUUACGGUCAGCAGACGGUACCCGACUAAGAAGCCCCGGCUAACUACGUGCCAGCAGCCGCGGUAAUACGGAGGAUGCGAGCGUUAUCCGGAUUUACUGGGUGUAAAGGGCGUGUAGGCGGGAUGGUAAGUCAGAUGUGAAAACUAUGGGCUCAACCCAUAGCCUGCAUUUGAAACUAUCGUUCUUGAGUGUUGGAGAGGCAGGCGGAAUUCCGUGUGUAGCGGUGAAAUGCGUAGAUAUACGGAGGAACACCAGUGGCGAAGGCGGCCUGCUGGACAAUAACUGACGCUGAGGCGCGGAAGCGUGGGGAGCAAACAGGAUUAGAUACCCCAGUA